CAAAAAGCAGUACUGCAGAAGUUACUUGCUGCUGGAAGCUGCUGUUGUGUUCUAUUGACACAGCUCCCACUGGUGGGCAAAAGGCAGAACUACAGCAACUUUUGAGCAGAAACUUUUUUCUGCACAAAAAAAUAAAAAUAUGCAUGGCUCAUUAAUCAUGUGCGUGCGCAGUGGUGCAAGAAUCCCCCCCGGUGUACUAAGUCUAUGCUUUUCCUUGCAUAUGCUGCAGCAAACUGUUUUUACUCACCAGGUCAUCAGUGUGGAAUUUUUCCAACUCCAGUCGCAAGUGUGCAAUUUUCUGGUUCACUUUCUGCAUACUGCCAAUUGGGCACACUGAGAAACCCUGACUCAUCUCACUAACUGCACAAUCCAAAUCUUUCAGAAAAUCCUCCAAACCCGUUGCAAAUGGUAACCAUACAGUGGAGCUGUGGACUUUGGACUACCAACAAAAUGUUUGGCAAAUUGGGGACCCCUUGAAAAAUUAAAAGGGAAGGGAUAUUUAUUUUCAUUUUGCCUCAAAUACAUGCUUCUCAUAGGCUCUUGACAUCCUGCCAUCCAUUAAAAUACAUUCCAUACCAAUAAAUACAGUCUAUACCCCAUCUUCACCCUUUUUACAAGACCAUGAUAAAUUUUGUACUAAGUAUGCCUUGUGAGGUAUCAUUUCAAAAAUUCAAUUUGCUUAACAUUAUUGUCCUGGUAAAAUAUGUGUGGCAAAAUUACAUGUCAAAAGUUAUAAGAUUCUACUGAAUAAUAUUACUGUAACAUAAUCCAAAUUUAGAAAAGCAGACACAAACCAGUUCAUCAAAAAGAAAAGACAAACCAACACCUUAGUCUGGUGUCAACAAAGUCAAGUGGACCAUCACCUAGUAAAAUGGCCAUUCUUUGGAAGGAAGAAAUGUGUAAGCAAGAACUUUACAAUGACAGUAGAACAAUUGGGGGUUCCCAUGUAAACAGACUGGCUAUCACCUGCACCUCAGCUGGAGAUAGUCCUCACACAACAUAAAUUACCUCUCUACUCUAUUCCUUUGCUCAUGGCAGCAAUGCCUGAAGAGACACUGAACUGGGGGAGGAGUCCUAGCCUAAAAGCUUCCAGCCAUUAAAGACUACAAAGAGCAGGUGAUGAGAAAAACCUUUGCUUUGAAUCUCCCUAGCUUGGUAAAUUACAUACUAGUUUGCAUUUUAUCUUUUUAUUUUCUUUGUGACCAAGUCUGACUUUUAUACCUCUUUACUUGUAAUCACUUAAAAUCUUUCUGUAGUUAAUAAAUUUGUUUUAUUGUUUUGUCUAAA
Molecule: long non-coding RNA, 1287 nt
Organism: Dermochelys coriacea (leatherback sea turtle)
Lineage: Eukaryota; Metazoa; Chordata; Testudines; Dermochelyidae
Exons: 2
Source: RefSeq, a predicted model, not a curated record